UGUUCGAGCGUCAUUAUAACCACUCAAGCCUCGGCUUGGUCUUGGGGUGCGAGGUUUCUCGGCCCUUAAAAUCAGUGGCGGUGCAUCUGGCUCUAAGCGUAGUAAUUUUUCUCGCUACAGGGUCCGGGUGGUUACUUGCCAAAACUCCCCCAUUUUUUAAGGUUGACCUCGGAUCAGGUAGGGAUACCCGCUGAACUUAA
RNAcentral lists this unclassified non-coding RNA (200 nucleotides) under soil metagenome. Its description in RNAcentral is "partial contains internal transcribed spacer 2 and large subunit ribosomal RNA". The record is from RNAcentral.